RNAcentral lists this long non-coding RNA (672 nucleotides) under Solanum tuberosum (potato). Its description in RNAcentral is "long non-coding RNA (STUB_LNC003966)". Lineage: Eukaryota; Viridiplantae; Streptophyta; Magnoliopsida; Solanales; Solanaceae. The record is from RNAcentral.
GCAGGCCUGGUGCUUGCCUCGAGUUGAGCACAUAAGCGCUAGACCCAUUAUUUUCAGGGCCUUCCAUUGUUCUUCUACAUCCCAAAGACAAAUUUCUUCAUCAAGAAAACAAAGGAAAUUGUUGCCUCUAUGCAAGAUCUUCCUCACCCAGAAAACAAUGUUAAUCUGGGUUUACUCAGAGCUUAUUUGGCGCUACUAUUGGUUUGUUUGUUAUUCGAAUUACCCUGCAUAGAAUAAUUUCAUUUAUUACAGUUUUUAUGUUAAGUGAACAUUUUCCAAUUGGAUUUGGAGUUCAGUUUAUUUAAUUGCAGCGAAGGUUGUAGUUGAUGAACUUGCAUGUCUUUUAAAGGAAGCGGAAGCUGUAGUGCAAUCGAUUAAUUGCAGUUUGGUUCAAGUUGGGGAACUAAAUGUUGACAAUGGUACAAAUUUGUUAGCGAAAACGUGAAAAUAAAGAAUAAGGAAGAACAAAAUGAUCCUACGUCCACCAAAGAACAACUGCACCAAUGUUUUAUUUCACUCUACAAAGAAUACAAGUAAAGUACUACAAGAGAAAAGAUCAAAUGUCUUAGAAGGUGAGAAGACAAGUGAGAGGAUGUUUUGAAAAUGAAUUAAGAGCUACCUAUUUAUAGGAAUAAAUUAUUGUGUGAGAAGAUAGUCAAAAGCCCCCCCAAC